AUUGAACGCUGGCGGCAGGCCUAACACAUGCAAGUCGAGCGGAUGAAGGGAGCUUGCUCCUGGAUUCAGCGGCGGACGGGUGUGUAAUGCCUAGGAAUCUGCCUGGUAGUGGUGGAUAACGUCCGGAAACGGGCGCUAAUACCGCAUACGUCCUGCGGGAGAAAGUGGGGGAUCUUCGGACCUCACGCUAUCAGAUGAGCCUAGGUCGGAUUAGAUAGUUGGUGGGGUAAAGGCCUACCAAGGCGACGAUCCGUAACUGGUCUGAGAGGAUGAUCAGUCACACUGGAAGUGAGACACGGUCCAGACUACUACGGGAGGCAGCAGUGGGGAAUAUUGGACAAUGGGCGAAAGCCUGAUACAGCCAUGCCGCGUGUGUGAAGAAGGUCUUCGGAUUGUAAAGCACUUUAAGUUGGGAGGAAGGGCAGUAAGUUAAUACCAUGCUGUUUUGACGUUACCAACAGAAUAAGCACCGGCUAACUUCGUG
Molecule: ribosomal RNA, 484 nt
Filed under: uncultured bacterium
Lineage: Bacteria
Description: partial 16S ribosomal RNA
Rfam family: Bacterial small subunit ribosomal RNA
Source: RNAcentral